Molecule: ribosomal RNA, 433 nt
Filed under: uncultured bacterium
Lineage: Bacteria
Description: partial 16S ribosomal RNA
Rfam family: Bacterial small subunit ribosomal RNA
Source: RNAcentral
AACGAACGCUGGCGGCAUGCCUAACACAUGCAAGUCGAACGAGACCUUCGGGUCUAGUGGCGCACGGGUGCGUAACGCGUGGGAACCUGCCCUUAGGUUCGGAAUAACUCCCCGAAAGGGGUGCUAAUACCGGAUAAUGUCUUCGGACCAGAGAUUUAUCGCCUUUGGUUGGGCCCGCGUUGGCUUAGCUAGUUGGUAGUGUAAAAGCCUACCAAGGCGACGAUCCAUAGCUGGUCUGAGAGGAUGAUCAGCCACACUGGGACUGGGACACGGCCCAGACUCCUACGGGAGGCAGCAGUGGGUAAUCUUGGACUAUGGCCGGAAGCCUGAUCCAGCACUGCCGCGUGAGUGAUGAAGGCCUUAGGGUUGUAAAGCUCUUUUACCCGGGAUGAUACUGACAGUACCGGGAGAAUAAGCUCCGGCUAACUCCGUG